Molecule: ribosomal RNA, 497 nt
Filed under: uncultured bacterium
Lineage: Bacteria
Description: partial 16S ribosomal RNA
Rfam family: Bacterial small subunit ribosomal RNA
Source: RNAcentral
GAUGAACGCUGGCGGCGUGCCUAAUACAUGCAAGUCGAGCGAACAGACGAGGAGCUUUCUCCUCUGACGUUAGCGGCGGACGGGUGAGUAACACGUGUAUCACCUACCUAUAAGACUGGGAUAACUUCGGGAAACCGGAGCUAAUACCGCAUCAUAUAUUUAACCGCAUUGUUCAAUAGUUAUAUACGCUUUUGCUGUCACUUAUAGACGGAUCCGCCCCGCAUUAGCUAGUUGGUAAGGUAACGGCUUACCAAGGCAACGAUGCGUAGCCGCCCUGAGAGGGUGAUCGGCCACACUGGAACUGAGACACGGUCCAGACUCCUGCGGGAGGCAGCAGUAGGGAAUCUUAGGCAAGGGGCGAAAGCCUGACGGAGCAACGCCGCGUGAGUGAUGAAGGUCUUCGGAUCGUAAAACUCUGUUAUUAGGAAAGAACAAAUGUGUAUGUAACUAUGAACAUCUUGACGGUACCUAAAGAGAAAGCCACGGCUAACUACGUG